Molecule: ribosomal RNA, 497 nt
Filed under: uncultured bacterium
Lineage: Bacteria
Description: partial 16S ribosomal RNA
Rfam family: Bacterial small subunit ribosomal RNA
Source: RNAcentral
GAUGAACGCUGGCGGCGUGCCUAAUACAUGCAAGUCGAGCGGACAGACGCUGAUCUUGCUCCUCUCACGUUAGCGGCGGGCGUGUGAGUAACACGUGUAUCACCUACCUAUAAUACUGGUAUAACUUCGGGAAACCGGAUCUAAUACCGGAUAAUAUAUUGAACCGCGGUGUGCGUUAGUAAGAUACGGUUUUUCUGUCACGUCUAGAUGGAUCUGCGCCGCUUGAGCUAGUUGUUAAGGUAACAGCUUACCAAGGCGACGAUGCGUAGCCGACGUGACAGGCGGAUAGGCCGCACUGGAACUGAGCCACGGUCCAGACUACUACGGGAGGCAGCAGUAGGGAACCUUCCGCAAUGGGCGAAAGCCUGACGCAGCAACGCCGAGCGAGUGAUGACGGUCUUCCGAUCGGAAAAACCUGUUAUUAGUGAAGAACCACUGUCUACGUAACCAUGCACGUAUUGACGGUAACGAAUCAGAAAGCCACGGCUAACUACGUG